RNAcentral lists this ribosomal RNA (502 nucleotides) under uncultured bacterium. RNAcentral's name for it is "partial 16S ribosomal RNA". It matches the Rfam family "Bacterial small subunit ribosomal RNA", at positions 28 to 523 of the family's 1533-position model. The record is from RNAcentral.
GACGAACGCUGGCGGCGUGCCUAAUACAUGCAAGUCGAGCGAAGUGGAGAGAGCUUGCUCUCGAAGCUUAGCGGCGAACGGGUGAGUAACACGUGGGCAACCUGCCCGAUAGACCGGGAUAACUUGGGGAAACUCAAGCUAAUACCGGAUAGGAUCAUUAACCGCCUGGUUGGUGAUGGAAAGUCUGAACGACACUAUCGGAUGGGCCCGCGGCGCAUUAGCUAGUUGGUGGGGUAACGGCCUACCAAGGCGACGAUGCGUAGCCGACCUGAGAGGGUGACUGGCCACACUGGGACUGAGACACGGCCCAGACUCCUACGGGAGGCAGCAGUAGGGAAUCUUCCACAAUGGGCGAAAGCCUGAUGGAGCAACGCCGCGUGAGUGAUGAAGGUUUUCGGAUCGUAAAACUCUGUUGUUAGGGAAGAACACCCGGGAGAGGAUCCCGGUUUGACGGUACCUGACGAGAAAGCCCCGGCUAACUACGUGCCAGCAGCCGCCGUAA